GAUGAACGCUGGCGGCGUGCCUAAUACAUGCAAGUAGAACGCUGAAGGAGGAGCUUGCUCUUCUGGAUGAGUUGCGAACGGGUGAGUAACGCGUAGGUAACCUGCCUGGUAGCGGGGGAUAACUAUUGGAAACGAUAGCUAAUACCGCAUGACAACAGUUAUUGCAUGAUAACUGUUUAAAAGGGGCAACUGCUCCACUACCAGAUGGACCUGCGUUGUAUUAGCUAGUUGGUGAGGUAACGGCUCACCAAGGCGACGAUACAUAGCCGACCUGAGAGGGUGAUCGGCCACACUGGGACUGAGACACGGCCCAGACUCCUACGGGAGGCAGCAGUAGGGAAUCUUCGGCAAUGGACGGAAGUCUGACCGAGCAACGCCGCGUGAGUGAAGAAGGGUUUCGGAUCGUAAAGCUAUGUUGUAAGAGAAGAACGAGUGUGAGAGUGGAAAGUUCACACUGUGACGGUAUCUUACCAGAAAGGGACGGCUAACUACGUG
Molecule: ribosomal RNA, 495 nt
Filed under: uncultured bacterium
Lineage: Bacteria
Description: partial 16S ribosomal RNA
Rfam family: Bacterial small subunit ribosomal RNA
Source: RNAcentral